CUGACAUCCUCUCUUUGCUGCCCAAAAAUGUUGAACUGAAGGCCAAGAGUACUCAAUAUCUUCGUGCUGCAUCUGAAAGAGAGUCUUUGCUUUUGGAGAUCAACAAAGCUGAGGACGAAUUGAAAGAAAUCUCUUCCGAAGUUAUGAUUGAAGACUCUUUGAUGACCAGUUUGGCUGCACAGAUGAAGGAGCUUCAAGCAAGGAUGGAUG
RNAcentral lists this long non-coding RNA (210 nucleotides) under Olea europaea (common olive). RNAcentral describes it as "long non-coding RNA (OEUR_LNC007782)". Lineage: Eukaryota; Viridiplantae; Streptophyta; Magnoliopsida; Lamiales; Oleaceae. The record is from RNAcentral.